This 235-nucleotide unclassified non-coding RNA is filed under the name plant metagenome. RNAcentral describes it as "partial contains small subunit ribosomal RNA, internal transcribed spacer 1, and 5.8S ribosomal RNA". The record is from RNAcentral.
UUUCCGUAGGUGAACCUGCGGAAGGAUCAUUAAAGUUGUAGUCCCCCGGCCCCUCCGGGCAGGGGUCUUCUUUACCGUCCUUUGUUUAUUACACCUUUGUUGCUUUAGCAGGCCUGCACUCGGGCUUCUGGCUCCGGCCGGCUCGUGCCUGCCAAAGGAACUAACCUCUGUUUGUAUAUGAAGUCUGAUUACUAUAUAAUAGUUAAAACUUUCAACAACGGAUCUCUUGGUUCUG